AACAUGGUCAUACCUUGCCAGAAUCCUGUAUCAUUUUGACAUUUUCAGAACCGAAUUUAUCAGAGUAGAGUUUAAGGAGUCUCUGGGAAAUUUCUGACAGAGGCGUGAGUUUGGGUUCUUUGUAAAUAUACUCUUUUCCAUCUUCAUCUUCAAAGAAUCCCUGUGACAUAAAGCACAAUUAGAGCUAUUCCCAACCAUAAACCCCAGGUUUACCACCCAGAAAGGAUUCUCAUGUUAUAAGGGUUAAAAAAAAAAAAAGGCAGGGAGAGGGGAGGAUGAUUCUAAAAUAAAAUCCUACUUAAACAGGCUUUCCAAAGAGGAAGGAAAAUGAUAAUAAUGUGAAGUUGGAGUAUAAAGAUAAAGGAAAACACACAAAACUGCAAACUCAUUCAAGAAUGCUGUCAUUAAGUAUUGAGUGAAAUGGAGGAUCAGGAACUCAAGACUGUUCUCUUGGGAUCUAAUGAUGGGAUUCAAGCCUGUUUCACAUUCCCAAGAAGCAGAGCUCAGUAAGAAAUGAUUCAGCAGCCUGCUCCAGGCAGGCCUCAGAAAUGCACACACACUCCCCUUCACUGGCCGCCCCCAUUUAUAUAGGACUUCAGGACAUAAACAGAAAAACAUUCCAGUCCAGAGCAGAUUUGGCACAAGUUAUCGUUUUGCAAUGACUGGACAGAUAUACAUACAGACUGGAAAAGGAACUUGCAAACCACACUGAGGUACCAAAGGUGGUGCUAAAAAUGUCUUAUGGAGGGAGAACUUACCGCUGCCUUAAGAAAGUAAUAAAGAAAAGACAGGAAGAAAGAAAAAAAGCAGAAAGUUUACUGCAGAGGAAGGAAACAAUAACAAUGCUGAGACAUGAAGUUACUAAGUGUGACUUCAACCCAAGUUAACCAUCUCAGAGCAAUUUAGUGUUGGCACGUGGUAGGCAUAACGCCUGCCUCACCAACAACCUCUCCCCCUUUCCUUGGAAGCUUCUACCUACUGAUCUAAUCAGCAUGACUCUAUUUCCUGGCCAGUCAUGGUUUCAUCAUCCAUGGACAUGUGACCUAAAUGGGCCAAUUAGGAUAACUUUUAGGACCUUGUACUGCAAAGCUGGCACCAAACUGUUCUCCCCGGCCCAGACAUGACAGGCAGCCAAGAGCCUGACUGGGGCUGACAUCUAUCUCAUGGCCAGCGAGGGGUCCAUAUGGCUUAGUAACAGAAUGGAGAGCUCCCCCUCCCUCCCAAAGCGACUGUAUCAUGGAUAACUCUGUUAAACACUCAUAUUGAUUGCUCUCAAUCUUUCUGGAAUUUUCUAAUGGAAGCCAAUUUACUCAACUUUUAUUGUUUAA
This is a long non-coding RNA of Canis lupus familiaris (dog), 1328 nucleotides long. RefSeq lists it as uncharacterized. The record is from RefSeq and is a predicted model, not a curated record. NCBI's taxonomy places the organism in Eukaryota, Metazoa, Chordata, Mammalia, Carnivora, Canidae. The transcript has 3 exons.